GGUUCCAUAGUGUAGUGGUUAGCAUGUCUGCAUUACACGCAGAAAGUCCUGAGUUCGAUCCCCAGUGGAACCA
Pundamilia nyererei is the source of this 73-nucleotide non-coding RNA. The record is from the annotation of a RefSeq genome assembly. NCBI's taxonomy places the organism in Eukaryota, Metazoa, Chordata, Actinopteri, Cichliformes, Cichlidae.